UACGUAGGUGGCAAGCGUUGUCCGGAUUUAUUGGGCGUAAAGGGGGCGCAGGCGGUUUCUUAAGUCUGAUGUGAAAGCCCACGGCUCAACCGGGGAGGGUCAUUGGAAACUGGAAGACUUGAGUGCGAGAGAGAAGAGUGGAAUUCCAUGUGUAGCGGUGAAAUGCGUAGAUAUAUGGAGGAACACCAGUGGCGAAGGCGACUCUCUGGUCUGCAACUGACGCUGAGGCCCGAAAGCGUGGGUAGCAAACAGG
Molecule: ribosomal RNA, 253 nt
Filed under: uncultured bacterium
Lineage: Bacteria
Description: partial 16S ribosomal RNA
Rfam family: Bacterial small subunit ribosomal RNA
Source: RNAcentral